RNAcentral lists this ribosomal RNA (253 nucleotides) under uncultured bacterium. RNAcentral's name for it is "partial 16S ribosomal RNA". It matches the Rfam family "Bacterial small subunit ribosomal RNA", at positions 524 to 776 of the family's 1533-position model. The record is from RNAcentral.
UACGGAGGGUGCAAGCGUUAUCCGGAUUCACUGGGUUUAAAGGGUGCGUAGGUGGGUCUGUAAGUCCGUGGUGAAAUCUCCGAGCUUAACUUGGAAACUGCCAUGGAUACUAUAGGUCUUGAAUACUGUGGAGGUCAGCGGAAUAUGUCAUGUAGCGGUGAAAUGCUUAGAUAUGACAUAGAACACCAAUUGCGAAGGCAGCUGGCUACACAAAUAUUGACGCUGAGGCACGAAAGCGUGGGGAUCAAACAGG